AGCAGUCGCCGCGGUAGUACGAAGGGGGCUAGCGCUGCUCGGAAUGAUUGGGCGCAAAGGGCGCGUAGGCGGCGGCCAAAGUCAGGCGUGAAAUUCCUGGGCUCAACCUUGGGGCUGCGCUUGAUACUUGGUUGCUUGAGUGGGGAAGAGGGUCGUGGAAUUCCCAGUGUAGAGGUGAAAUUCGUAGAUAUUGGGAAGAACACCGGUGGCGAAGGCGGCGACCUGGUCCUUGACUGACGCUGAGGCGCGAAAGCGUGGGGAGCGAACAGGAUUAGAUACCCCAGUAGUCCCUGUCUCUUAUAC
This 303-nucleotide ribosomal RNA is filed under the name uncultured bacterium. RNAcentral's name for it is "partial 16S ribosomal RNA". It matches the Rfam family "Bacterial small subunit ribosomal RNA", at positions 507 to 807 of the family's 1533-position model. The record is from RNAcentral.